CUUGGAGGAUGUACAAUACAGUUUUUAUAUAAAAUUCUAGGUAAAAAACUGAUAAUGACUAAUAUUUAUCUAUGAGUCUUGACCAACAAACGUGCCAGCUGUCGCGGUAAGACGUUAAAGACAAGUGUUAUUCAUCUUUAUUUGGUUUAAAGGGUACCUAGACAGUAAAUCAAGCCUAAUUGACAGGAACUAAUUUUCUAGAGUUUUAUGGAAGAGGCUCGUAUAUCUUAGGAAGAGUGUUUAAAUACUGUGAAACCGGAUGGACGGGUAAAGGCGUAGGCAAGCUUCUAUGUAAAAACUGACGUUGAGGGACGAAGCCUCGGGGCGCGAUAGGGAUUAGAUACCCCAAUAGUCCGAGGAGACAAUGAUGAGUGCCAUAAGCUAAAUAAAGUAGUUUAUAAAUGAAAGUGCAAGCAUUCCACCUCAAGACUAAAGCGGCUAACGCCCAAAUUGAAAUCAUUAGACCGCUAUCUGAAACCAGUAGUGAAGUAUGUUAUUUAAUUCGAUGAUCCGCGAAUAACCUUACCACGUUUUGAAUAUUUAAAGGUAAACUUUAAUGUUUUACUCUAAAAUAUCUUACAAGCGUUGCACGGCUGUCUUUAGUUGAUGUCGUGAGACCUAGGUUAAUUCCAUUAAUCGGCGAAAACCCUUGUUUUAUUUUAUUAGAGCUGUUCUCCGUUAUAUUGGAUAUAGAUAAUAGGGAUUAAGACAAGUCAUCAUGGCCUUAAUAAC
Molecule: ribosomal RNA, 732 nt
Filed under: Turgidosculum ulvae
Lineage: Eukaryota; Fungi; Ascomycota; Eurotiomycetes; Verrucariales; Verrucariaceae
Description: SSU rRNA
Rfam family: Bacterial small subunit ribosomal RNA
Source: RNAcentral